This is a non-coding RNA of Equus caballus (horse), 3325 nucleotides long. NCBI's taxonomy places the organism in Eukaryota, Metazoa, Chordata, Mammalia, Perissodactyla, Equidae. The record is from RefSeq and is a predicted model, not a curated record.
UCGCGGUGAAGGAGGCCACGAAGAUGGAGAGCAUCCCGAAGUCCAGCAGGUUCCACAGGUGCAGCACGUACUCCCGCGGGCCCUCCUCCCAGAUUUCCUUGCAUUCAGACCAAAUCAUUCCUGUGGGCGAGGGAGAAGGCACGAGUGAUGUGGCAGUAAGGACUGAUGGAUUGCACACUGCAAAGACAUCAGCUUCCAUUGUCACCUCUGCUGGUGAUUCCCAGGUUUUUACCUCCAACCCCAGCUGUAUUCUAAGGAGCUGACUGGAAUAUUCAACUGUCAAGUGGUCAUCUACACUGGUAAGCUCCGCAGACAUUUCAAACUCUGCAUGCUCCACACUAAACAUGUCUUCCGUCUAACAAGAAAACCUGAUCUGCUUUCUGUUUCAGGAAAUAGAGGUCCUGUCCACUCAGCCUCCUGAGCUAGAAACCCUGGGUUCCUCUUUGUCUUUGCCAAUUAUUUACCAAGAUCUGUUGAUUGUGAUCUGAAGUAUCUCUUAUGUCUGACCCCUCCCCCUCAUAUUCAUAGUCAUCAUCUUAAUUCAAGUCCUUAUAAUUUGGUGUCUAGACUUUUGAACCAGCCUCCUGAUUGGUCUGUUUCCAACAACACUUCCUUCUUCUACCCAGAUGCCAAACCAUCAUCCCCUUCAUUACAAAGCCACAAGAUAAAAUCCAAGCAUCUUUAUUGUCAUACCUCAACAUACCUCACCAAUAUCAGCCUCCUUCCCAUAAACCCAACUCCCCUCCAGCCACACCUGUCCACUAAGUACACUGGGCCGUCAUGCCUCUGCACGUGCCCAUUCCUCUGCUUUUCUGCCUUUCUUUCUCUUCUCCAUUUGCCUAACUCCUACACAUCCGUCAAGAACCACUUCAAAAUCUCUCUUCCUGGAAGCCUUCUCUCACACUGCUAGGAAGUUCGUUGCUCUCUCACAGCAUUUUGCUCCUUCUCUACCACAUUACAAUUAUCCCUUAACAUUCCAGUCUCUCCCAUUGCUUCGAGGACAGUCUGGGUCUCACCUACACUUGUAGCCCUAGUACCUAGUACAGUAUCUGGAACACAGAGGGAAGAGUGACCUUUGCUGGUAAAUCAUUUAACCACUCUCAAUCCGUUUCCUCAUCUGUAAAAUGUGAAUAAUAAUCUCUUCUUAAAUCUCAACUUAGCUGUUGCUUGUGACAAAGUCUCUGUAGAAAUGAGAAGCAUAAAGGGCUAGGGAAGCGGGGAGCCAUUAGUCCAAGCACCUGGCUUUAUGAGUGAGGAGGAGGAACUGCAGAGCAGUAAAGUGGCUGAGCCGAGGUCUCACAGAAGUCCACGGUAGAGCCUGGGUCUCCUCACUCCAUGCCUUUUUUUUCCGCCUCUCUGUUUGUGGAGCCUCACCUGUCGAGGCCCAUCCUAGUAUUGCCUCAAAGGAUUUUCUUUUAUGAUGUCAUAUCACAUGUGACAUAGGCCAUGUCCUGGGCAGAGUGUGACCACAAAGCUCCAAGCUACUUGGUUCCUUCACGUGAUCUCCAAAAUCUGACUACUGUGAGAGCACGCCUCAAAUAUCUGCUUUAGGUGAAGAAAGGAUCCAACUCUGUGUGUAAAAUCUGGUUUCUAAAUUUGUGAUCUUAGAGGAGAUACCAUUUAGGGAAAGAGACUCUUGUCCCUAAUUUUUUCAGCUAAAUUAAAACAUUUUUUCCUUUUCCUGCACAUUUCCUAGAACUCAUCUCCAUGUUUAUGUUAAAAUAUCAGUUUUAAGCACAUAAAACAUCAGGUUUCUGAUGUGCUGUGGGAGGGUGUUGGGUGAAUCCUUUGGAGUAUAAACUUUAAGCAAAAUUAAUAAUCACCAGAUAAGAGAAAUCGUCAUCAGAAAGAUCCCUGGGCCACUGUUUUUAAAGAACAUGUAAGAGAAGCUGGGGAGAGCUGUUAACUCAACGGCAGAGCCCGGGCCUUCAUCAUGCAAAAGGCCAGCAGCUGCAUGCUACUGCUUCCAAGAAUGCGAACAUGAGCUCUGACCCCCCAGGUCCAAGACACUGUGUUGUUAGUCAGUGUGAAGUGUGUUUAUUUCCAGGAUGUGUGAGAGAAGCAGUGCUUAGCAUAUCAGUGUGGCUCUUCUGAAUUUUCCAAGCAUUUAUCCAUCAGAGAUUGACAAGCCUGCUCUGGAGCCCAGAAAAACAGGUCAUUGUUAUUAAUUUCGCACCGUGGAUAUGGGAGAUGGAGAUAAUCAUAGUCAUAUGAAAGAUAAUCAUGCUACUGAGUAUUUGGGGAGCCUUUUCUGUUUGAGAAUUGGUAAUCUUUAGAAAAUUUUAGCUUCAGUCAUUCUUACAUCACUGUAAUUUCAGGACUAGGUAUACACCUUUAGUUGUCUUCAUUUUCCUGGAUCUUAUACCAUACUGCUUCUAUCGUGACCAGACCCUGUACCCCUAAUUCCUCCAGACCUCCUGGGGUUGGCAAAAAAGUGUAGACGGUACCACACCACCUGAUCUGUUUUCUUGAGAGCCAAGGGAAAAAAAACAUGGCCUCCUUUCGCUCAGGUGGUACCUGUUUUGAAAGGAAGCCUGUGACAGGAUAUUCAGAGUGGUUAUUGCAGGGUGUCUUAUCCCUCCACAGCAUUUGAGUGUAUAACACGUACAGUACGUACUGAUCACAUAGUUUAUAAAUGGAAAAGAGGAGAGAGAGAGACACUUGGUUCAUCAAUGCCAAGUGCGAUUUCUCAAUGAAGGAGACUUUUUUUUUUCAUUCUGCAAUCAAAUGCAGUUCUCUCAAUUUUCUUGAUUGGUAUUAAAUGGAACUCUACCUUGGAUCCGGGAGCUGCAGUGGUAUUUGCCAGCUUCUUAUAAUUCAUGGGCUUGAAGGGUAGCAGAAUAUGCCACCCCAAAAUAUGCUACUUUAGCAUAAGGAUUAUUUUGAGCUGAAGGCAAUUAAGAAGCAGAUACGAGAAAAGCUGUCUGCCCUCCCCCUAUGUGGCUAAAAGUAGGAUAUAAAUUUGUAGAAGGUGUCCUCCCUUCCCUUUCUACCAGGAACGGCAGAAGUUGAUCAGAGAGAUGACUGAGACCCUUAUCAGCCCAGAGGCAGCACCAGAGGAAUCUAUAUAACAAACCCUGCUCAAACUCGCCCUCACCUACGAUUAGUUUCCCCAUAUAUUUACCUUCCCACAAUUUGAUGCCCCUAGGAAGCUCCAAGUCCUUUUCCUUGUCUCGUCACUUCUGUAAAAAUUUACUGCUCUUUUGUUAAGAUGCUGUAUAAACACAAGUCCUAACCACCCCUUUGACUUACUCAUCUCUGAGUGCUCCCAUCUGUUUGCAAGAGGCGCAUGUUAAUAAACUUCUAUUUGUUUUUUUCUUGUUAA